Podarcis lilfordi (Lilford's wall lizard) is the source of this 1322-nucleotide non-coding RNA. NCBI's taxonomy places the organism in Eukaryota, Metazoa, Chordata, Lepidosauria, Squamata, Lacertidae. The record is from the annotation of a GenBank genome assembly.
CCCCCUACAAAGCGGCCCAUGGGGGUCUUUUAAGUGGCCCCCGAGCUGCCCCUGAACCGAGACAUCCGCUCGGCGAGUCCCUGCGCACUGCGCUAAACCGGUGAAGCGCAGUGUGGGGACUCGCCUCUGCGGUGCCGGAAAUCGUGUCUGUGCAGACGCAGACGCCGGUGUUGCAGGAACGCCCCCACCCAAUCAUUCAGUUUGUACAAACUUCACACACACACUCACACCCUACAUACGCUACGCUUCUGUUAUAAAUUCAUAGAAAAUCAACCAUACAUUGGAUUUGCACUGUUCCACUUUUAUUUUACUCCAUGAAGGAAGGACUACAAAAUAGGGAAGGUUUGAUAUAGGCCAGCCAUAAUCCCUUGAGCACACCAGCACCUACACAGGAGCCCUGCCCAGUUGCUAUGCCAACCCUGGUGGUCCUAGACAGAAGACCAUCAAGGUCACAAAGAACUUGCAUAUGGGAGUGGAUUCAGCACGGACUGGAACAAAGGACAAUGAUCAGAUCUUCCCUCAGGGGGCAGGAAACUGCAAACUCGCCUUUGUCACCUGGAAAGUACUCAUGGGGAAGGGGGAAAGGAGGAACCAGCCAGGUGACAAGAGACUCAGGUUACCUCCACAACUCCUCCCUCAACCCCUCCUUUUGGUGAUGUAGUUGUGAUGUAGUCUUAGGGGUGUAGUUUGGGGGAUUAGCAACUAAUAAAAGUUGGGGUCUUCUUUUGUUCUGGGCUUCCAUUUUGCUUCAUCUUGUUGUGGGUGGGAGUCCUGUCAUGACAGUUUCCAAUAAAGGCCAAGCCUACAGGCUGCUGUUUUGCUCCAAAUUGUCCUGGUUGGUGUCUUUGUUUUUUGCCCAAGGGAGCCCUCAGAUUCCUCCGUUAACACCAGAAAUCCUGGGAGUGCGUGCGAUCCGGCCCUCGGAGGGCUCUCUGCUGGAGUGAACCGGCCCAGGCGAGGUAAACCUUGCUGACCCCUGCUCUCACUGAAGACAGCUUCCCGAAGUUUCCUCCCAUGGCAUCUGCCUUCCUCCUUUGCAAUGCCUUGCAUGCCUGCAGGGGAUCAGGAAAAUGAUUUUUUCCCCAGCCCAUCUAAAUUUCGUGGCUCAGCAACAGACUUCAAAGGACAAAGGGAAGCACAAUAAAUGAUGGCUGAGAGACCAGUGUGUACAAAAAGAUAAAGGUACUAGCAAAAGAGAUCCAAUUUACCUUCCCCCCCCUCCACCAGCCCCACGUACCAGGGUGAAAUCUGGCUACCAAACCAAUUGCUGUUUGUUUAGGGAAGUUUGGGAGAGCCUUGUGCAAUCUGCAGGUGGCCCUUUC